Molecule: ribosomal RNA, 276 nt
Filed under: uncultured prokaryote
Description: partial 16S ribosomal RNA
Rfam family: Bacterial small subunit ribosomal RNA
Source: RNAcentral
UACGUAGGGGGCUAGCGUUAUCCGGAAUUACUGGGCGUAAAGGGUGCGUAGGUGGUUUCUUAAGUCAGAGGUGAAAGGCUACGGCUCAACCGUAGUAAGCCUUUGAAACUGGGAAACUUGAGUGCAGGAGAGGAGAGUGGAAUUCCUAGUGUAGCGGUGAAAUGCGUAGAUAUUAGGAGGAACAUCAGUUGCGAAGGCGGCUCUCUGGACUGUAACUGACACUGAGGCACGAAAGCGUGGGGAGCAAACAGGAUUAGAUACCCUGGUAGUCCCUGA